UUGUCUACAUGUAUUUCUCUCUGUUAGUUGUUCUUAACCACUGAGACAUCUCAUCAGCCCCACCUAGGAUGGGCUUUUACCUCUGUUAUUAAAGCCAAAGCCCCACACCCAUCCUCCAGCAUGCUCUUGGCAGCUAAACAAAGCUGCAGCCACACCUGCCAACAUUUGUGCAGGGUAAAUACACUGCUGUUUUCUCUGUACGAGAUACUCUUCCCUUGUUCAUGACACGCUUCUCAGAACAAUGAGGUUACCAGCCUGAAAAUGGCAGUCGUAUAUAAAUCCUCUUAUCCCAUGGACAGAUUCUGUGAAGAUCAGCAGCUAUGUCUCCAAACACAGCAUUUUAGGAGCCCCAAGAAUCACCAGCAUCCGCCAGCAGCGACUGAUUCAGUAGGCUGGGUAAAGAAUUCAAAAUGCAAGAAGCCAGAAGCAUCGUGGUUCAUUUCCAUGGCCAAAUAUUUGCAAGUGUGUAUUCCAGGGGUUUAUAGUGCUUGUAUCACUAGUGUUUCUUUGGUAGUACAAGCUAAACUGUUUUCCUUGAAGGGAGGUGAGAUUCAUAAAACCACAGUGUUCUGUGUCCUGUGAAGCAUGUUAACUAUCUGUUGUAAAAGCAAAUAAAUGUUUAUGGCCUCUGAUGUUGUGGUAAAUACAGUGGCACUGUUAUUUGAUGGUCAACCUCACAUGGGACAGUGCAAGUAAUGAAAAUCACAGGUCCAGGAUCAAUGUCCCAGGAUUUGGGAUGAGUGGAUGGCAUCACUUUGUUUUGUUUUGCUUGGUGUUCUCACAUGCAAGUUAGGAUACAAGCAUGGCAUACUUGGAAGAGUUACAGCAGGCUUGAUUCAGAUGAUCGCAGAGGGAACCCAGCAAGCAAGCACUGCAGAUUUCGAUGAUCACCACAAUUGACAGUGCCCACAAAAAUUGUGCAAGACAAGGGUAGAGAAAUGGCUUAGUGGUUAAAAAGUACUUGCUGUUCUUCCUAAAGUUCUAGGUUCAGUUCCCAGCACCCACAUGGCUGCUCACAACUGCCUAUAUUUCCAGUUGCAAGAGAUCUGACAGCCUCUUCUCAUUUCUAUGGACACUGCAUUAAAAUGGCACACCAACUGUACACUCAGGUAUACAACAUACGCAUAUGAAUUAAAUAAAUGCAUAGGCCUUUUUAAAUAGUUGGGAAUGCAUUCUAUAUUUAAUUUAUUCAUUAAUUUUAAUGUAACCAGUAGUUAGUGGUGAACACACUCCACUCUGAUAGAUACCAUGGCUAAGUAGGAUGUGAAAUAUACCCCAAGAGAGUUUAAACAUGAGCAGCAGAAGAAUCAUAAACACAGGGAUCUUUGUAGUGAUGGAAUUAUAUUCUGUAUGCACAAUAUACAUUGUACAAUGUAUGGCACAUCACAAAAACACAAGAUAGUAAAAGAGAAAGAAAGCAGACAUAACCCAAUAGACACUGGAGGUGAUAAACCCAGACCAUCAAAGAGCCAGGGAAGAUUAAAAAAGAAAAAAAGAAAAAGCAGGGAGCUCUUCUCUUGAGAAGUAUUCACAUUUGGGUAAAAGGUUAACUGAAAGAGAGAACCAUGGGCCUAGCUGAGAGAUGGGCUUUCUAGGCAGAAGGCAACCUCUGGGCUGCCUUCUCAGGCAGUGGGGGCGUGGGAAGUAGGCUUCAGUGAGCAGUGUAAGUCCUGAAUCCAGGAGAAUUCUUUCUCUUUAUUUUGAUUGUAGGUGAGAAUUCUAAACUCUAAGUUUUGAGGAUGUUAAAACAUUUUUUCUAAAUGGCACAAGUGCAGGAUUUGAAUCUCCUGGAAAAGGGCCAGGAGAGAAAGACAAAUAUCACAUUAUUUCAUAGUUUAUUGUUUAUACUAUGGAAGCAUUGGUGUCUUAAAACUUCAGCGGGCACUAGUGCUUAAAGGUCAUUUACACAUAUGUUUAAACAGCAUUAAGAAGCAUAUCUAAUGAUGACAAGGACAGUCUUAACUCCACUGACACAGAUCAUCCAUUACAUAGGACUGCUGUCUCCCUGUUUAAAGGGAGAGGGCUGUGGAGUUGGCUUAGCUGGUAAAGUGUUUGUCACUCAAGUAUGAGGGCCUGGGUUAGAUGGCCAGAACCCGCACACAGAAAAAGUCAGGAGUAGUUAUAUCUGCUUGUAAUCUAACUGUUGGGGACAGGGAGACAGGAGGAUCUUGGGGCACCCUGGCCAGUCAGCCUGACCUAAUUGCAGAGCCCCAGAUUCUACUGAGAGGUCCAGUCUCACAGAAGAUGGAUAGCUCCAGAACAAAUCAACCUGAGGCUCGUUAGCAUUUGCUUUUAGAAGUAAGUGCACAUAUACAUGCACUUCUUGUGCAUGUGUGUGCACAUACAUAAUACAUGUGAAAUCCAGAGCAUGAGAGCUCCAUCCAGGGGAUCUGAAAUGAAAGCCCUUUGGAAGUUUUGUAUGUGAGAUAGUUCCAUGAAAAUGAUAUGUCUCCACAAGCUAGAGCAUCCCUCUGGCCUGUGCAGGUGGAUCUUAAGGAACAGACAUGCACACUCUAAGAGUGUUCUUAUGCAUACAAUAUUACAACUCACAUUAACUACAAAGCAUUCCUUAUAUGCAAUAACCAGUAUCUUUUAGCUCACUUGUACAGGCAUUUCUCUACAGAAAACUGUUUCUCAAAGCACACUUCCUGUUGAUUUAAAUGCUCAUAAGCUUGUUAGCAUAAAAUGAAAGAGAGAGUUUGACAAUUCAUCCAGACAACUGCAAAUGCAGCAUUUUAAUUAUUUCGUGUAUUUUAUGAAGACAAUAUGCACCACCCGUACUCCGCAGCUUUGCAUCUUUCCAGAUCUUUGGCAGAAGAGUUCCUGCCACAUCUCCAACAGAUGGCCUGCUGAUUUGAAAGCCCCAUGUUCACCAAAAAUAUUGGAAUAUGGUAAAAGUUGAAUUAAUAAAAUUAUAUGCAAACAUCCAACAAAACUUAGUAUUUGUGCCAAAUUCAAUAUUCAUUUGGAGCUCCUCACCACUAGAUCCUGCCCAAGCCAUGGAAAUGUAUUCUUAAGACUUCUGCUGGCCCCAACAUGGAAGCCAGAUGGGAGAUUUGAUUUAAUCUGGCCCUAUUAAGCUGAAGCAUAUUUCUGCCCCUGGUAUUCUGUGCCUCCCCUCUGGCUUUAAAUGCUACAGCAGACAGGUCUCAAGUAUGAACUUUGUGGUGAUUUGACUCACAAAACACUAUGGCCAUAGAUGGUUCACAGCACUGAAAUCUUGUCCUGGUUGUUCUUUGUGGCUGUUCUGAAUGUACUUGGGUACUGAAAAAUAUUAACCUUUACUUAAGAGGCACUAGUUUCACUCCUGUCUCCCAACCUCAAAGCUGUCUCUAGACAUCACGUAACAUCCCCUAGGCACGGCCACUGAUUGUUGAGCACCGCUGCGGGGGCUGAUUUGAGGGAGACAGAAGCUUAUUCCAUCCCUGUAGACUGCUUCACCCUCACCAUCGCACUGUACCGCUAACGGGCUUUAACUCACUGCAGUAAUGAAAAU
Mus musculus (house mouse) is the source of this 3496-nucleotide long non-coding RNA. RefSeq annotates it as predicted gene, 45941. The transcript is spliced from 3 exons. NCBI's taxonomy places the organism in Eukaryota, Metazoa, Chordata, Mammalia, Rodentia, Muridae. The record is from RefSeq and is a predicted model, not a curated record.